RNAcentral lists this unclassified non-coding RNA (243 nucleotides) under uncultured fungus. Its description in RNAcentral is "sequence contains ITS1". Lineage: Eukaryota; Fungi. The record is from RNAcentral.
GUAUUGAACUGUAACUCCAAAUCAAUAAGCUACUUCUUAUCAGUCAAGAACUUUUCUUGUUUGCAUUUGCAAGCCCCCCUUCUCCUCUCUUUUUGCUUUGCUAGUCACGUAUGUUUGUUUGUUCAGAAAAGACAAGGAAGGAAAAGAGACAGAGACAGGAUCUCUACCCCCCUCCCCUCCUCAUCUCCCCUGAGGUUGUAAAGUAUUUCUUUGAUGAUCCCUCCGCAGGUUCACCUACGGAGA